GGUUGACCUCGGAUCAGGUACGGAAU
RNAcentral lists this ribosomal RNA (26 nucleotides) under fungal endophyte sp. AP486. Its description in RNAcentral is "partial 28S ribosomal RNA". Lineage: Eukaryota; Fungi. The record is from RNAcentral.